RNAcentral lists this ribosomal RNA (408 nucleotides) under uncultured bacterium. RNAcentral describes it as "partial 16S ribosomal RNA". It matches the Rfam family "Bacterial small subunit ribosomal RNA", at positions 28 to 527 of the family's 1533-position model. The record is from RNAcentral.
GACGAACGCUGGCGGCGUGCCUAAUACAUGCAAGUCGACCUUAGUGGCGCACGGGUGAGUAACACGUGGGUAAACUGCCCAUCAGAAGGGGAUAACACUUGGAAACCGGUGCUAAUACCGUAUACUGAUGGAUUGUCCGGCGGUGCAUUAGCUAGUUGGUGAGGUAACGGCUCUCAAAGGCCAAGAUGCAUAGCCGACCUGCGAUGGAGAUCGGCCACAUUGGGACUGAGACACGGCCCAAACUCCUACGAGAGGCAGCAGGAGGGAAUCUUCGGCAAUGGACGAAAGUCUGACCGAGCAACGCCGCGUGAGUGAAGAAGGUUUUCGGAUCGUAAAACUCUGUUUUUAGAGAAACGGUAUCUAACCAGAAAGCCACGGCUAACUACGUGCCAGCAGCCGCUGUAAUUG